RNAcentral lists this long non-coding RNA (437 nucleotides) under Vitis vinifera (wine grape). Its description in RNAcentral is "long non-coding RNA (VVIN_LNC005447)". The record is from RNAcentral. Lineage: Eukaryota; Viridiplantae; Streptophyta; Magnoliopsida; Vitales; Vitaceae.
UCACUGCGGAUAUGAAUUUUUUUUGAGUGAAGAUAUUGUCCUAAGUAGUCCAAGAUUUGAAAAGAUAGUCAUUUAGCUUUGAUACCAUAUAUAUCACCAACUAAAAUAUAAUUUGCAGUAGUUUUGGUCAUGGUUCUGAAAAGUGAGCCGCAACCCAAGGUGUGUGCUUAGGUGAGGUGAUAUGCAGCCAAGGGCACAUGCAGAAUUUUAUAAGAUAUUGGAUAUGCAAACAUUUUUUAUGCACUCAUGUCAUCAAAUAUGCAGCCAAGGGCACAUGCAGAAUUUUAUAAAAUAUUGGAUAUGCAAACAUUUUUUAUGUACUCAUGUCAUCAAAUAUGAUCCAAAAUUUCAGUUCAAGUAACAACCAGAUCAAGAGUUCAAGCAUUUAAAUGAAGCAUCCAACAAAGACAAUCCAAUACUACUUUUAAAAAAGUAUA